UAGGGAAUCUUCGGCAAUGGACGAAAGUCUGACCGAGCAACGCCGCGUGAGUGAAGAAGGUUUUCGGAUCGUAAAACUCUGUUGUUAGAGAAGAACAAGGACGUUAGUAACUGAACGUCCCCUGACGGUAUCUAACCAGAAAGCCACGGCUAACUACGUGCCAGCAGCCGCGGUAAUACGUAGGUGGCAAGCGUUGUCCGGAUUUAUUGGGCGUAAAGCGAGCGCAGGCGGUUUCUUAAGUCUGCUGUGAAAGCCCCCGGCUCAACCGGGGAGGGUCAUUGGAAACUGGGAGACUUGAGUGCAGAAGAGGAGAGUGGAAUUCCAUGUGUAGCGGUGAAAUGCGUAGAUAUAUGGAGGAACACCAGUGGCGAAGGCGGCUCUCUGGUCUGUAACUGACGCUGAGGCGCGAAAGCGUGGGGAGCAAACAGG
RNAcentral lists this ribosomal RNA (429 nucleotides) under Gemmatimonadota bacterium. Its description in RNAcentral is "Gemmatimonadetes bacterium partial 16S ribosomal RNA". It matches the Rfam family "Bacterial small subunit ribosomal RNA", at positions 355 to 776 of the family's 1533-position model. Lineage: Bacteria; Pseudomonadati; Gemmatimonadota. The record is from RNAcentral.